RNAcentral lists this ribosomal RNA (376 nucleotides) under uncultured organism. RNAcentral's name for it is "partial 16S ribosomal RNA". It matches the Rfam family "Bacterial small subunit ribosomal RNA", at positions 527 to 896 of the family's 1533-position model. The record is from RNAcentral.
GUAGGUGGCAAGCGUUGUCCGGAAUUAUUGGGGCGUAAAGCGCGCGCAGGCGGUUCGUUUAAGUCUGAUGUGAAAGCCCACGGGCUCAACCGUGGAGGGUCAUUGGAAACUGGAGAACUUGAGUACAGAAGAGGAAAGCGGAAUUCCACGUGCAGCGGUGAAAUGCGUAGAGAUGUGGAGGAACACCAGUGGCGAAGGCGGCUUUCUGGUCUGUAACUGACGCUGAGGCGCGAAAGCGUGGGGAGCAAACAGGAUUAGAUACCCUGGUAGUCCACGCCGUAAACGAUGAGUGCUAAGUGUUACGGGGGGUUCCGCCCCUUAGUGCUGCAGCUAACGCAUUAAGCACUCCGCCUGGGGAGUACGGCCGCAAAGGCUG